Molecule: ribosomal RNA, 485 nt
Filed under: uncultured bacterium
Lineage: Bacteria
Description: partial 16S ribosomal RNA
Rfam family: Bacterial small subunit ribosomal RNA
Source: RNAcentral
ACUCAAAUGAAUAGACGGGGACCCGCACAAGCGGUGGAGCGUGUGGUUUAAUUCGAUGGUAAGCGGAGAACCUCACCAGGACUUGACAUCCUACUGAAAGCCACUGGAAACAGAGGCCCUCUUCGGACAGUAGAGACAGGUGCUGCACGGUUGUCGUCAGCUCGUGCCGUGAGGCGUUCCGUUAAGUCGGGUAACGAGCGCAACCCUUAUUGCUAGUUGUAUUUUUCUAGCGAGACUGCCGCGGUUAACGCGGAGGAAGGUGGGGAUGACGUCAAAUCAGCGUGGCCCUUAUGUCCUGGGCGACACACGCGCUACAAUGGCCGGUACAAUGGGUUGCCAAAUCGCGAGAUGGAGCUAAUCCCAAAAAACCGGCCCCAGUUCGGAUUGGAGUCUGCAACUCGACUCCAUGAAGCCGGAAUCGCUAGUAAACGCGAAUCAGCCACGUCGCGUUGAAUACGUUCUCGGGUCUUGUACACACCGCCCGU